Molecule: ribosomal RNA, 497 nt
Filed under: uncultured bacterium
Lineage: Bacteria
Description: partial 16S ribosomal RNA
Rfam family: Bacterial small subunit ribosomal RNA
Source: RNAcentral
GAUGAACGCUGGCGGCGUGCCUAAUACAUGCAAGUCGAGCGAACGGACGAGAAGCUUGCGUCUCUGAUGUUAGCGGCGGACGGGUGAGUAACACGUGGAUAACCUACCUAUAAGACUGGGAUAACUUCGGGAGACCGGAGCUAAUACCGGAGAAUAUUUCGAACCGCAUGGAUCAAAAGUGAAAGACGGUCUUGCUGUCACUUUGAGCUGGAUCCGCGCUGCAUUAGCUAGUUGGUAAGGUAACGGCUUACCAAGGCAACGAUGCAUAGCCGACCUGAGAGGGUGAUCAGCCACACUGGAACUGAGACACGGUCCAGACUCCUACGGGAGGCAGCAGUAGGGAAUCUUGCGCAAUGGGCGAAAGCCUGACGGAGCAACGCCGCGUGAGUGAUGAAGGUCUUCGGAUCGUAAAACUCUGUUAUUAGGGAAGAACAUAUGUGUAAGUAACUGUGCACAUCUUGACGGUACCUAAUCAGAAAGCAACGGCUAACUUCGUG